GUGGGGAAUUUUGGACAAUGGGCGCAAGCCUGAUCCAGCAAUGCCGCGUGUGUGAAGAAGGCCUUCGGGUUGUAAAGCACUUUUGGCAGGAAAGAAAUAGUGCGUGCUAAUACCAUGCGCGAAUGACGGUACCUGCAGAAUAAGCACCGGCUAACUACGUGCCAGCAGCCGCGGUAAGACGUAGGGUGCAAGCGUUAAUCGGAAUUACUGGGCGUAAAGCGUGCGCAGGCGGUUUUGUAAGACAGGUGUGAAAUCCCCGGGCUCAACCUGGGAACUGCACUUGUGACUGCAAGGCUAGAGUGUGUCAGAGGGAGGUGGAAUUCCACGUGUAGCAGUGAAAUGCGUAGAGAUGCGGAGGAACACCGAUGGCGAAGGCAGCCUCCUGGGAUAACACUGACGCUCAGGCACGAAAGCGUGGGGAGCAAACAGGAUUAGAAACCCUGGUAGUCC
This 450-nucleotide ribosomal RNA is filed under the name uncultured bacterium. RNAcentral's name for it is "bacterial SSU rRNA". It matches the Rfam family "Bacterial small subunit ribosomal RNA", at positions 354 to 796 of the family's 1533-position model. The record is from RNAcentral.